GGGCGCAUAGCUCAGCUGGCCAGAGCGCACGGUUCACAUCCGUGAGGUCGGGGGUUCAAGUCCCUCUGCGCCCA
RNAcentral lists this transfer RNA (74 nucleotides) under Phototrophicus methaneseepsis. It matches the Rfam family "tRNA". From Rfam's summary of the family: Transfer RNA (tRNA) molecules are approximately 80 nucleotides in length. Their secondary structure includes four short double-helical elements and three loops (D, anti-codon, and T loops). Lineage: Bacteria; Bacillati; Chloroflexota; Candidatus Thermofontia; Phototrophicales; Phototrophicaceae. The record is from Rfam by way of RNAcentral.